RNAcentral lists this ribosomal RNA (253 nucleotides) under uncultured bacterium. RNAcentral's name for it is "partial 16S ribosomal RNA". It matches the Rfam family "Bacterial small subunit ribosomal RNA", at positions 524 to 776 of the family's 1533-position model. The record is from RNAcentral.
UACGGGGGGGGUAAGCGUUGUUCGGAAUUACUGGGCGUAAAGGGCUCGUAGGCGGCCAACUAAGUCAGACGUGAAAUCCCUCAGCUUAACUGGGGAACUGCGUCUGAUACUGGAUGGCUUGGAUCCGGGAGAGGGAUGCGGAAUUCCAGGUGUAGCGGUGAAAUGCGUAGAUAUCUGGAGGAACACCGGUGGCGAAGGCGGCAUCCUGGACCGAGAUUGACGCUGAGGCGCGAAAGCCAGGGGAGCAAACGGG